RNAcentral lists this ribosomal RNA (1092 nucleotides) under Vibrio parahaemolyticus. RNAcentral describes it as "bacterial LSU rRNA". It matches the Rfam family "Bacterial large subunit ribosomal RNA", at positions 1668 to 2742 of the family's 2925-position model. Lineage: Bacteria; Pseudomonadati; Pseudomonadota; Gammaproteobacteria; Vibrionales; Vibrionaceae. The record is from RNAcentral.
CGGGUAGAGAAUACCAAGGCGCUUGAGAGAACUCGGGUGAAGGAACUAGGCAAAAUGGUACCGUAACUUCGGGAGAAGGUACGCUCUUGAUGGUGAAGUCCCUUGCGGAUGGAGCUGACGAGAGUCGCAGAUACCAGGUGGCUGCAACUGUUUAUUAAAAACACAGCACUGUGCAAAAUCGUAAGAUGACGUAUACGGUGUGACGCCUGCCCGGUGCCGGAAGGUUAAUUGAUGGGGUUAGACUUCGGUCGAAGCUCUUGAUCGAAGCCCCGGUAAACGGCGGCCGUAACUAUAACGGUCCUAAGGUAGCGAAAUUCCUUGUCGGGUAAGUUCCGACCUGCACGAAUGGCGUAAUGAUGGCCACGCUGUCUCCACCCGAGACUCAGUGAAAUUGAAAUCGCUGUGAAGAUGCAGUGUACCCGCGGCUAGACGGAAAGACCCCGUGAACCUUUACUACAGCUUGGCACUGAACAUUGACCCUACAUGUGUAGGAUAGGUGGGAGGCUUUGAAGCAGGUACGCCAGUAUCUGUGGAGCCGUCCUUGAAAUACCACCCUUGUAGUGUUGAUGUUCUAACGUUGACCCCUUAUCGGGGUUGCGGACAGUGCCUGGUGGGUAGUUUGACUGGGGCGGUCUCCUCCCAAAGAGUAACGGAGGAGCACGAAGGUGGGCUAAUCACGGUUGGACAUCGUGAGGUUAGUGCAAUGGCAUAAGCCCGCUUGACUGCGAGAAUGACAAUUCGAGCAGGUGCGAAAGCAGGUCAUAGUGAUCCGGUGGUUCUGAAUGGAAGGGCCAUCGCUCAACGGAUAAAAGGUACUCCGGGGAUAACAGGCUGAUACCGCCCAAGAGUUCAUAUCGACGGCGGUGUUUGGCACCUCGAUGUCGGCUCAUCACAUCCUGGGGCUGAAGUCGGUCCCAAGGGUAUGGCUGUUCGCCAUUUAAAGUGGUACGCGAGCUGGGUUUAGAACGUCGUGAGACAGUUCGGUCCCUAUCUGCCGUGGGCGUUGGAAGAUUGAAGGGGGCUGCUCCUAGUACGAGAGGACCGGAGUGGACGAACCUCUGGUGUUCGGGUUGUGUCGCCAGACGCAUUGCC